This 4212-nucleotide long non-coding RNA is filed under the name Homo sapiens (human). RNAcentral's name for it is "HSALNT0079763". Lineage: Eukaryota; Metazoa; Chordata; Mammalia; Primates; Hominidae. The record is from RNAcentral.
AAGCACAGUGGGACCACCAGGCCACUUUAUGGGAUGUUUGAGGUUCACACGCAUCAAGCAUUUCACCAACCCCAUUUAGCUGCUCUGGUGCAGCAGGGAAUAGGUGGAAACUUGGAUUAAUUAGCACUGUGACUUGCCAAGUGAGAUAAAAGCAAGAGAGUUAAGGAUGACUGCAUGGGAGUGACUGUAAUGACAGUGGAAUUUAAACUAGAUAAGGAGCAAAAAGGAAACGAAGAAGACGAAAGUGAGUGCAAAGCAAGUAGAAUCACAGGAAUGGUCUUUUCAGUAGGUUUUGAGGAUUUCUGAAGUCCGAGACAUAAAGGGAAUGUGCAGGAAGGAAAGGAGAUGGUCAUAAACGAAGUAAAGGAAAUUGAAAUAAGAGGGCUGUGUUUUUUAGUAAUGGCAAAUUAGGGUAGUUGAGACAGGUGGAAGACAAAAUCUUUUUUUUUUUCCUUUUUUUGGAGACGGAGUCUCAUUUUGUCAUCCAAGCUGGAGUGCAGAGGCGUGAUCUAGGCUCACUGCAACCUCUCGGAUUCAAGGGAUUUUCCUGUCUCAGCCUCUCAGAAGAGAACAUCUUCAUAGGAGAGGAGCUCUAGGAACUGAGAAUGCAGGAAAUUGGAAGAAAUAUACAUUAAUAGCCAAGAAUUUAGACAGGACUGGGGAGCCAGGAACAAACAUUUGAGAUGUUGGGCUUUUAAUGGAGUUGCCACGGAUGACAGCAUCAUGAGAAAUGAGGUUUAAAAAUGGAGGAUUGUUCGAGGAGGGAGGAGGGCUGAUCUGAAAGCCACAAGGAGGACAAAUGGAACACCUACCCCCACUACAGGCUGGAAGGAAACAUGGAUGAACAUGGCCAGGGAGAGAGGAAAAGGAUGAAAGAACAAGGUGCCUACCAUGGAGGAUGCAAAAGAAAUUUUUCCCCGAGAACUGUAGUCCCAGCUAUCUCCUCUGCAGAACUCUGUGCUAAUGAUAGAAUUUGCAUACUAAUGAUAAUUGCAACCAAGAAAGCUGUAUUCUCUUUCUACUCGAGAUAGAGAGUCUCACUAUGCUGGCCAGACUCGUCUCAAACUUCUGGGCUCAAGCAAUCCUCCCACCUGCCUCAAUCUCCCAAAAUGCUGGAAUUACAGGCAUAAGCCAUCACACCCAGCCAGUAAUUGACUCUGAAAGUAACACACAAAGAUUGGAAAGUGAUCUAAGUUCUGAAUUCAAAUAUCAACACAUGCAUUUUGCUAUUUCUUUGUUCUUUAAUUGCAGCAAGAACAAAUAACAUGAGAUCUAUCUUCUUAUCAAAUUUGUAAGUAUAUAGUAGAGUAAUGUUACCUACAGGCACAAUGUUGUACAGCAUUUGUUCUACAUAAUGUUCUACAGGUAUCUGUAGAACUUAUUCUUCUUACCUAACUGAAACUAUGCCUGUUAAAUGGCAAAUCCCAAUUUUCCUCUCACCCAGCCUCCAGCAACCACUAUCCUACUUUCUGUUUCUGCUAGUUUUACUAUAUUGAACUCCAUAUAUAAGUGGAAUCACAUAGUAUUUGUCCUUCUGCAACUAGCUUAUUUUACUUAGCAUAAUGUCCUCAAGGUUCAUUCACGCUUUCUUAUAUAGCAGGAUUUGUUUAUUAUGGUUGGAUAAUAUUCCAUUAUAUGUUUAUAAGACAUUGUCUUUACACAUUCAUCUCUCAAUGAAUAUUUUGGUCAUUUCCACAUUAUAGCUAUUGUGAAUAAUCAUACAAAGGAAUUGAACAGGGAGCCCAGAAGGAAACUCAUGCUUAUAUGGUCAACUGGUGUUUGGCAAGGGUCCAAGAAUACUCACUGGGAAAAAGAGAGUCUCUUUAAUUAAUGAUGUUGGGAAAACUGAAUAUCCAUAGCAAAAAAAUAAAAUUGAACACUCCUCUCACACAAUAUAUAAAAAUCAACUCCAAGUAAAAAAAACUUCAUGACAUUGUCUCAGCAAUUAUUUCAUGGGUAUGACACCAAAAGCACAAACAACAAAAGGAAAAAUAGACAAGUGUGAUUACAUAAAACUAAAAAGUUUUGCAAAGCAAAAGAAAUAACAGAGUGAAAAGUCAAGCUAUGAAAUGGGAGAAAACAAUUAUAAACUAUAUAUCUGAUAAAAGAUUAAUUUCCAAAAUAUAUAAGGAACAACUUAAUAGUAAAAAGGCAAGUAAGUCAGUUAGAAAGUGGACAAAGGACUUGAAUAGACAUUUCCCCCAAAAUGAUGUAAAAAUGACUAACAGGUAUGUGAAAAAGAUAUUCCCACUAACAGUUAAAAGAUAUCAUCACUCGGCUGGGUGCAGUGGCUCAUGCCUGUAAUCCUAGCACUUUGGGAGGCCGAGGCGGGUGGAUCACCAGGUCAGGAGAUCAAGACCAUCCUGGCUAACACGGUGAAACCCCGUCUCUACUAAAAAUACAAAAAAAUCAGCCGAGCGUGGUGGCGGGCACCUGUAGUCCCAGCUACUCGGGAGGCCGAGGCAGGAGGACGGUGUGAACCUGGGAGGCAGAGCUUGCAGUGAGGUGAGGUCACGCCACUGCACUCUAGCCUGGGUGACAGAGCAAGACUCUGUCUCAAAAAAAAAAAAAAAAGAUAUCAUCACUCAACAUCAUUAGUCAUCAGGAAAACACAAAUCAAAACCACAAUGAGAUAUUGUUUCAUACCUGUUAGAAUGGCUAUUAUAUAAUUUUUGAAAAACUGGUGUUGACAAGGAUGUGGAGAAAUUGGAAGACUUGUACACUGUUGGUGGGAAAAUCAAAAUGGUGCAGCCACUAUGAAAAAUAAUUUGGAAGUUCCUCAAAAAAUUAAACAUAGAACUAUCAUAUAAUCCAGCAAAUCCCACUUCUGUAUGUUUGUACAAUUGAAUUAAAAUCAAGAUCUUGAAGAGAUAUAUGCACUCCCAUGUUUAUUGCAGCAUUAAUCACAAUAGCCAAGACAUGGAUUUGAAAGAUAUUAAUACGUCAGAGAAAUUGUCCAAAAGGAGCUUUGCUCGGUAAAGAAACAAAGGGAGGAGGGGGGUGGGAUUUGUGUUUCUCAAGUUACUUCAAUUUUAACUAUUACAGUGUUUUGAAAUUUCUCCAGUGGAAAUAUAUAUUAAACACAAGUAUAACAGCCAACAAGUUUGACGGAGAGUUAACCAACUUUAACUCAAAGCAUCAUUUUCAAAUGCCUCCUCUACAGUGUUCCUUCUAGUGAAGUAGAUGUUUGGUUAUAUGAAGAGGACCUUUAGUGAUAAACUUUUACAAUAAACAUGAGUAAUCUAUGUAAUCAAAUAACUGUUGAAGAGUCAGUCUUCAAAUUUCAUAGUAUUACAAAAGUAAAUGUUGAUGUCCUAAAUUGUACUCAGGUUUUGUUCAAUAUGAGAGAAGUUAUAAUGUAAUGGAGAGAAUUAUUGGUCCUGUCUAGAUGAUCUGAGGAAACAAGAUGGAGACUGCCACACGAGUAGGAUUCUAAGGAAAUUAACUCAAUCUUGGCAGAGAGUUCUAGUUGUCUCUUCAGCAUUCAUGACCCCUCACUGUCCUCCUUAAGAAGAGAAAUCAAUUUUUAACUGAGCUCCUUAUCAGCUUGUGGUCAUAUGACUAUGUUCUGGCCAACAAGAUACAAAUGGACAUGUAUGAGACUUCUGGAAAACUGUUUAUAGAGAAUCUACUUCUAGAAGGAACACAUUUUUAAUUCUCUUAGCUUUCUUCUUCUACUUGAUCUGCAACUCAGAUAUGAGAGCUAAAGUUUCAGCAGCCAUCCUUGUCUAUGAGGAAAUUCUGAGGGUAAGAACUACGUGGUAGGAUGGAGGGGAAGAAUAAUUGGCACUAACCUACUAGCUCUGAACAACCUAUUUCCAGACUUACUGUGUAAUGUGACAUUUUUACCUAGAUGGCACUGUUUGUGCAAUUAUUUAAAUAUUUUAUUACUUUCCACUCUCUUUACUUAGAAAGUUCUAAAACAUGGACAAAUGAAAAUGUGAUGCAAAUGAUAAAACAAUACAACUGGCACAGAAGAAAUUCUUAGCUUUAAUUGUCUACCCUUUAGAUUUAUGUCAUCCAACUGUCUGCUUAAUUAUGAAAGAAAAUAAAUAAGUAUAAAUGGUAAACACAAAUAUAUAUGCAGUGCUUAAACAUAUUUUUGAAUAUGUUUAAAAUAGUUUAUAAGGAAUAGUUUAUCAUUUGACUUUUUAUGUGGAGUUUUUCGUAGAAAGUUUUAAGAAUUAAUUAUAAAUGAAAGCAGAAAAAUCC